Long non-coding RNA from Strigops habroptila (Kakapo), 1632 nucleotides. The record is from Ensembl. NCBI's taxonomy places the organism in Eukaryota, Metazoa, Chordata, Aves, Psittaciformes, Psittacidae.
AAAUAAGAAUGCUUUGAGAUCGUUGAAUGGUAGACAUUAUAGAAGUAGAAAGCAUUGACUAUUAUUUGUUGUAUUAUUAUUAUUAUUAUUAUUUAAUGUAACAUAUGGAUGCAAAAUUCUGGCUUGUUUGACCAGGAAGACAGCCCUAUAUGUUUAAAAUUAAAUUAGCAUAGAAAAAAACUAAGCAAACAGACUAUCUCAAAUAGGAAAUGAAAUAAACAGUAUGGAGCUCUUUAAAUAUAUAACAAGUAAUCAGCGAAAGGGCUGUGAACGGAACCUGAGUGGGAAGCUUGUGACCAGCAAGGCUGAUACUGCUGGAAGCCUCAAUGAAAGUUAAAAGGCUCCAUGACUAGGCCAGACUAUACAGGCAAUUAGAAGUGCUGAAUGUUGCCAAGGCAUCAGGCCAACAAGAAUUACAACUCAACAAACUGAAUGAAGGAGAGUGGGGGGAGGGGGAAAAAAAAAAAAAAAGAAAAAAAAAGAAAAAAAGAAAAAAAAGGCUUUAAUUAAAUAUUUGAGAUCUCACAAGGGAUGGGGAAAGUGCCAGGUAACUGGAAGAUGGUUAACUAAACAGAGGGAGUCUGUUCGCUCAUUAAUGCGUGGGGGAAUUUACAAGUGUAACUUCUACUACCAUUAAUUGGAGCUACAGUAAAAGAGUGAUGCCAGUGUAUACUGGUGGGCAAAGGUUCUUGUUACCUAGACUGGUCUUCCCUGGUAAGGCUUCACUGAAGAGUUAUGGGGUAAUUUUUGGAUCUGAAUGAAAAAGGUCACCAAGAUGGAACUUCUUGAAAUACAAGCCUGCACUACUUUAAAUGCAGGAUGAUCCCAAAAUAAAGCAAUAUUUUCAUAAGAACUUUUCUUAGCAGCACUUUUUCAGAAUUGUGCAGAUUUACUUCUCUUUGCCCUGCACCUCAGAAAUCCCAAAAUAACCCUGUGGGACACGCAUCAGAUUCAAAGUGGAUAAAGAAACUUCAUUUCUGCAGUACCUUGUCAGAAGGGUCACCAGUUGGGAUGAUUUGAUUGUGCCUGUGCUGAAAUGAGACAGGGAAAUGAAGCCAGCAGGUCACUCACCCUCAAAGAAACAGUAGGAAAGAGGAGAACAGAAGUACUUGUGAAAGGACCUAACGUUGGCAAGGGUAGGGAGAGAACUGCAAGUGUACUAUGUCACUGGACCCAAUUAGAAACUCUAUAGAUGUAAUUACUUCAGAUAAGCAUAUAUAUAUUUUUAUGCAGCUCCAAAUUCCAUGGUUUUCACAACAUCAAUCACAUAUCAAAUUUUAAACGCCUGCUAGUUAUAAUACACAAUUUUGCUAUUCAUUGUUCCUCCAAAUCCAAAGUUUCCUUCAAAACAAAAUUUUAGGCUUCAUUGUUCUAUAGCACUGCAAUGAAGCCAGAAAUUAUUUAUUGACUAAAAAGAGAAUUGGGGGGGUUUCAGCUGCAAUCAGAGGAAUUUUGGAAUGUGUAAAAAAUUGUUUCUUUUUAGAGCCCAUAAACACAAACCAGAAAUAAUAGCUUUAGUAACACUUUCAGGUACAUAAAAUGGAGAAAUAAGGGCCAAGAAGCUUAUGUCAGGGUCCCAUGUUGGUUAUCUUAUCAGUCUUUCUAACUGAAAAGGAGAAACCAUUGGAGUUU